This is a small nucleolar RNA of Globicephala melas (long-finned pilot whale), 115 nucleotides long. RefSeq annotates it as small nucleolar RNA SNORA40. NCBI's taxonomy places the organism in Eukaryota, Metazoa, Chordata, Mammalia, Artiodactyla, Delphinidae. The record is from RefSeq and is a predicted model, not a curated record.
UAUAUAUUAACAUAAACUUUGGAACAUGAAACAUAUAAAUAAAAGUUAUAAUCCUCUUUUGCAACCCAGAGCUCAUUGUUCAGUAUGAGUUUUGAUACAGAUAAGAAGGAACAUG